AUGUCAAAAGGAGAUAGGUUACUUCUCGCAAAGGCCGUCCUACAACCCCUCCCAGUGCAUAUGCUAUCAUCUCAGAAACCCCCAAAAUGGCUGCUCAAAUGGCUCGAUCAGCGCACACGGGCUUGGUUCUGGAACGCGAAGGAUAAGUGCAAUGGAGGGAACUGCAGAGUCAGAUGGGAUGUGGUAUGCCGACCAAAGCAGCUAGGUGGGCUUGGCCUGCAGGACAUGGAAAAAUUUGCACGGGCUCUUAGGUUGAGAUGGAUUUGGAUCAGAUGGACCACAUCAAAAAUUCCAAUCAUUGGCGCAUAUGGCCCUUGCGAUGAUGAGGACUUCGCUGUCUUUGCAAGCGCCACGCGAGUUACCAUCGGUGAUGGCAAGACUGCGCUGUUCUAG
This 393-nucleotide ribosomal RNA is filed under the name Triticum aestivum (bread wheat). RNAcentral describes it as "partial small subunit ribosomal RNA". The record is from RNAcentral. Lineage: Eukaryota; Viridiplantae; Streptophyta; Magnoliopsida; Poales; Poaceae.